AAGCACUCUUAGCCAUGAUCUCCACCUGAGAUACUAGGGUGAGGCCAGGAUCCAAGAGGACUCCCAAAAUUCUUUCCUAUUCCUUCCAGGGGAGUGUAACCCCAUCCUGGACAGCUGUUAUUAAUUCAUUGGAGAAAUGGAUAAGACAACUAUACCGAAUAGGCAUCCAAGAAGCUGAUAACUGCACUGGCAGAUAAAUUUGAAUCUUCUUUGAUAGCUGGUGGCUACUCCGACCCAUGAGAAUCUGUGUCAUAUCCCACCUGUCUGGUUGUGGACUGAAGGAAACAGCUCUUUACUAUGAACCUGGCAAAAGAAAGAGGAAGAAGUCUGAGUUUGCAGUUGGCUGGU
This is a long non-coding RNA of Hemicordylus capensis (graceful crag lizard), 348 nucleotides long. RefSeq lists it as uncharacterized. The transcript has 3 exons. NCBI's taxonomy places the organism in Eukaryota, Metazoa, Chordata, Lepidosauria, Squamata, Cordylidae. The record is from RefSeq and is a predicted model, not a curated record.